GUGAGGAAUAUUGGACAAUGGGCGCAAGCCUGAUCCAGCCAUGCCGCGUGCAGGAAGACGCAUCUAUGGUGUGUAAACUGCUUUUGUACGGGAAGAAACACUCCCUCGUGAGGGAGCUUGACGGUACCGUAAGAAUAAGGAUCGGCUAACUCCGUGCCAGCAGCCGCGGUAAUACGGAGGAUCCAAGCGUUAUCCGGAAUCAUUGGGUUUAAAGGGUCCGUAGGCGGUUUAAUAAGUCAGUGGUGAAAGCCCAUCGCUCAACGAUGGAACGGCCAUUGAUACUGUUAGACUUGAAUUACAAGGAAGUAACUAGAAUAUGUAGUGUAGCGGUGAAAUGCUUAGAUAUUACAUGGAAUACCAAUUGCGAAGGCAGGUUACUACUUGUGGAUUGACGCUGAUGGACGAAAGCGUGGGGAGCGAACAGGAUUAGAUACCCCUGAGUCC
RNAcentral lists this ribosomal RNA (444 nucleotides) under uncultured bacterium. RNAcentral's name for it is "partial 16S ribosomal RNA". It matches the Rfam family "Bacterial small subunit ribosomal RNA", at positions 354 to 796 of the family's 1533-position model. The record is from RNAcentral.